RNAcentral lists this ribosomal RNA (253 nucleotides) under uncultured bacterium. Its description in RNAcentral is "partial 16S ribosomal RNA". It matches the Rfam family "Bacterial small subunit ribosomal RNA", at positions 524 to 776 of the family's 1533-position model. The record is from RNAcentral.
UACGUAGGGUCCGAGCGUUGUCCGGAAUUAUUGGGCGUAAAGGGCUCGUAGGCGGCCUGUCGCGUCGGUUGUGAAAGCCCGGGGCUCAACCCCGGGUCUGCAGUCGAUACGGGCAGGCUAGAGUUCGGUAGGGGAGAUCGGAAUUCCUGGUGUAGCGGUGAAAUGCGCAGAUAUCAGGAGGAACACCGGUGGCGAAGGCGGAUCUCUGGGCCGAUACUGACGCUGAGGAGCGAAAGCGUGGGGAGCGAACAGG